ACCCUACGGGGCGCAGCAGUAGGGAAUCUUCCACAAUGGACGAAAGUCUGAUGGAGCAACGCCGCGUGAGUGGAGAAGGGUUUCGGCUCGUAAAGCUCUGUUGGUAGUGAAGAAAGAUAGAGGUAGUAACUGGCCUUUAUUUGACGGUAAUUACUUAGAAAGUCACGGAUAACUACGUGCCAGCAGCCGCGGUAAUACGUAGGUGGCAAGCGAUGUCCGGAUUUAUUUGGCGUAAAGCGAGUGCCGGCG
This 249-nucleotide ribosomal RNA is filed under the name uncultured bacterium. Its description in RNAcentral is "partial 16S ribosomal RNA". It matches the Rfam family "Bacterial small subunit ribosomal RNA", at positions 335 to 577 of the family's 1533-position model. The record is from RNAcentral.